GCCAGGUGUGGUGGCGCGUGCCUGUAGUGCCAGCUACUCGGGAGGCUGAGGUGGGAGGAUCGCUUGAGCCCAGGAGUUCUGGGCUGUAGUGCGCUAUGCCGAUCGGGUGUCCACACUAAGUUCGGCAUCAAUAUGGUGACCUCCCGGGAACGGGGAACCACCAGGUUGCCUAAGGAGGGGUGAACCGGCCCAGGUCAGAAACAGAGCAGAUCAAAACUCCCGUGCUGAUCAGUAGUGGGAUCGCGCCUGUGAACAGCCACUGCACUCCAGCCUGGGCAACACAGCGAGACCCCCUCUCU
RNAcentral lists this signal recognition particle RNA (299 nucleotides) under Cebus imitator (Panamanian white-faced capuchin). RNAcentral describes it as "Metazoan signal recognition particle RNA (ENSCCAG00000007702.1)". It matches the Rfam family "Metazoan signal recognition particle RNA". From Rfam's summary of the family: The signal recognition particle (SRP) is a universally conserved ribonucleoprotein. It is involved in the co-translational targeting of proteins to membranes. Lineage: Eukaryota; Metazoa; Chordata; Mammalia; Primates; Cebidae. The record is from RNAcentral.